AUAUAUAUAUUAGAAAUUAUAAUACUAAUACUAAAAAAUUCAAAAUUUUUUGUGCAAUUUUAAUACACUAAUAUAUA
Molecule: transfer RNA, 77 nt
Filed under: Ecnomus sp. XG-2021
Lineage: Eukaryota; Metazoa; Arthropoda; Insecta; Trichoptera; Ecnomidae
Description: tRNA-Gln
Source: RNAcentral